AUUAUUGUGAUGUUAAUGGUUAGCAUGUCCAGCUGGCAAUUUAAAGAUCUGUGGUUCAAAUCCCAGCGAUAAUG
RNAcentral lists this transfer RNA (74 nucleotides) under Stegodyphus mimosarum. It matches the Rfam family "tRNA". Rfam says of the family: Transfer RNA (tRNA) molecules are approximately 80 nucleotides in length. The record is from Rfam by way of RNAcentral. Lineage: Eukaryota; Metazoa; Arthropoda; Arachnida; Araneae; Eresidae.